GGAGAGCAAAUGUGAAGGAACAAGGGAAAGGGAAAGGGAAAGGGAAAGAUAGAUAGAUAGCUUGCUUGCUUGCUGCUCUUCCCUUUCCCACCUCAAGAUGAUGAGGCUGAGGCUGAGGCUGAGGCAGCAGCAACAGCAGCAUCGCAGUUCCCUUUCUUCUUCUCUUCUUCUUGCUUUCCCACGAAACAAGCAAGGAAUAAUAAUCUGGAGGAGGAAGAUAUGGUCACCAUAACCAUAUAAAACUCCCACAAUAUCUCGAUGCGGGGAUUCAGAAAUGAUUUAAUUGGAGCACGAAUCCUGACUGCAGCGACCACUAUGGAUUCGGUCGCAGCUGCCAUUAGUACUAUAUAAAAUUGGGCAGCACUUUGCAUGCCCAACAUGGGGCCUAUGUGUAGGCUCCCAUGUUGCCUUCUCCUUCUUCUUCUUCUUCUUCUUCUUCUUCUUCUUUCUUCAUGUGCUACAAUCACAUCUGAUGCCCUAAUCCCAACAGCUCUAGAUCGAAUCAGGUGAUCACGAAUCUCAAGGACUCUCGGAUAUAUGUUUUAACAUUUGGCUCUCACAAAGUGCUCCUCCGAGAUAGAUGCCUUUGCUUAUUCCAUUUGGUUUAGUUUACGAGACACAACACGUGGCAGCACAGUGAGAUUGUGAUCAGCCGCCCCCAAUGGCAAAUUCCCAUCUCCCACUAAUCAUCCUUCCAUCUUUCUUUCUACAUCCAACUUUUAGUCUUCAUCAUCCUCGCAAGCCAAUACAAGUAAUGUAUAAUUGUGUUGUUGCAUGGUUGCUGUUCUUUCUUUUGUGCUUGUUCAUAUACUACUAUAGCUAAAAGAGGUUUGCAGGCAUCUGCUAGAUUCUCUUGCUCUUGUUUUUUAUCUAAUCACAAAAUAUGACCAAUUGUUUACCCCAAAGUGAGAAUUAUCUGUCACGGACGGACGAAGCUCACUAAUAAAUCUCGAGGAAUGUUGUCAGGGUGGUCCAAAGUCCAAACUAUGAUGUGAAGGGAUGAGGAGGCAUGUGCUUAGGAGGCAAAAGGCCUCCCCUCCCCUCCCCUCCUAUAGGAGAAUUUUAAGUCGAGGCUGUCUCAUGUGGAUCAUUAGACAGGGCUUGUUGUUGGUUUAAUCGAGUAGGAUUGUGGAACGCCAGCAUGAACUGCAAGCAAAUUGACUUUAAUCAAAAGUGGUUGGGUCUUAAACCAUUGCUUGCUGUGACGGCUAACUUUGUUUAUGCAUGAAAAAAGAUACUGAGAUCAGUUUCAUGUGAGAGAGUAUCUCAACUCCACCACCGAUCGUACACCGCCCUGAUUAAAUUGAGGCUUUUUUUGUUGUUGUUCUUCUUCUUCUUUUUCUUUGAAGGCAAGCCAUAAUUCUUUCUGGAAUUUGAUGCUCAUUCAGGAACACAGGCCGACGUUUACCCGACAAGGUACAAGUUGAUGGAGUUGCUUAGCAUCAUCAUCGAACACAAAGGGCAACGAUUAGAUGAUGGUGAUUUCAAUGCUGAGAGAAGAUUAGCAAACCAGCUCUUCACGGAAAGGAGGAGGGUUAUGAGAAGAUGAAAGCAACCGGUUCAGGAUUCAUUCCCUGUGCAUGGAUUACUGACUGCUAAAGCUUUGUUUUCUGCAACAAAAAGAUAAACUCCCAGGGCCAAGUCACCCCAAUGUCAAAAAGUUUUGGCAUGAUGUUAUGGAUUUGUAGCUAGCAUAGUCUUCUUUGAAGCAAUCAAAGAAGAACCACCAAGCAUCAUCUUUCUUGCAGAGAGAGUGUUGGCAGUACCAUGAACAAGAUCUGGUUUGCUUAAGAGUACCACCUAUAUACAUUAAGUUAUCUUUGAAGGAUGGCCACUAGCAUGAACCACUUUGUUAGAUGGAGAUGGUCUUGGGGGAACUAUGCUCGCUCUUAGUUUGAUGCCUAAACUAAGUUAUCUUUGGGAAAGUGGAAAAGGUUAAUGGAAUCCCACUAUAAUGAUGCUGAUGAUGAUCCUAUUAAAAAUUCUACUUGGAACAACUAGCCUUUAGCCUUUGGCAAAAGGUCUGAGAAAAGGGUGCCUAUUUUUAUUCCAGGGAAUGAAUGCAUCACUCAUCAUGCACAGGUGCUCUGGUUUUUGCUGCAAGUAAAAAGUUUUGGUGGGGAAGAUGCAACAUGAUUUCUGUGUCUGCAUUUAUCUUUUGCAAAGCUGUUUAUGAACAUAGCAGUUGGUGAUCUGGUUUCAUGAUUAAUUGGUGGCCUGGUAAUCAUUAGUCUCAAAGAACUUUGCUGUCAGGAAAUGGCUCGAUGUUACAUUUGAUUGAUCUCCAUCUAAAGCAACUCUUUCAUUAUUUGCUUGCUCAUGCAUUGUGGUAAACUUGGAUCCAUCCACCAUUUGGUGUAAAGCUUGAAGAAACAUGGCUGUUCAGUUGCCCAACUUGCAUGACAAGGUAAACAAAUUCAUCAUCUCAAUCAAUAUGCAAGUUGACACAUUUCCACACUCCUUUGUACUUGACAUGGCUAUGCCCAAGAUGGUUAAUAUUCCUUUUCUCAGCUAGCCAAUCCAUUGUGGUAUCACUUUCUCCUGUGCCUUGGACAGUCCAGUGCCUUUAGGACAUUGUCCAUCUGACAUGAUGUCUCAUGGAUUCUGUAUCAUGGAAACUGGUUAUGUUGCCUUCCUACAUGUGAUGCAAUUCUACUCAUUCCAAUAUUCAGAGCAUCUGCUUUAUAAAGGUCAUAUCUUUGGUUGGAUGAUCUCUUGCUGUCCCUACUGGUUGAGCUAAAACAAUGUGAGAAUGAUGCAAAGCUAACACUAUGACCAAUCAUGUGAACAAACUGAACAGACUUGGCAUCCACUCAAAGAAAGAAAAGAAUUCUAGAUGAUAACAUCAGCUGUAAGAACAACAAUGUUUGUUCUGCUAUGCCCAAAUUCAGAUCAGUUAAUAUUUUCCAGAUUGACUAGCGGGAAAUCCUUCAUCAACUUGAGCCUGGUGGUGGAAUGACAUCAGAUUGCUGGAAAAGCUGACAGAAAGAUCUCAAGUUUCGCCCCUCUGCCUUUAUUGGAGAUGUCUCAUUCCAUAUCCCUCAUGGUGUACUUCACUAUCUUAGUGGAUGUGGCUAUUCAUGCCUCAAUGAGUGGACCUCAAUAAUGUCAAGUGUGCAUCUCCUUCGCAUCACUAAAACAUUUACUAGGUUUAAGAUUGGAAAGAUCUGGUAGCUCUCUAUGGGAGAGUUGAACUAUGGAGUGCGCAGGCAGUGAGCUGUGGGUGUGUUCAGAUACUGUUCCAUUUUAGAUGACACUUUUCGUCUCUGACCAGAGUGCAAACUUAGGUUGUUGAUAGGUACUUUGAUGUAGAUAGUUGAAGAAUUAACCCAGAAUAAUCACAUGACUCUGGCAAAUCAAACCAGCUUCUCUCCAAGAACUUGUUAGGCUCCUUGGCAAUCCCAUGUAUGGAGAGAUAAGGAUCAAUUUGUUCUGCAAUCAUGCACCCAUCUGUCGGCAGGAACUCACCUGGUAAGUGCUCAAGAAGGUCUCAUAAGUCGUUAGUCAUGCACAAAAAAAGGAACUAUAAUCUGUAGCUUUGAAUGAUAUUAUUGGGUUGAACUAGUUUUGACAAAUAGUUUAGAAUGAUAUAAAAAUGUGAUCGCAACGACAUCCACAAGACCCUGCCUCUUGAUGCACAAGUCAACUGGAUGCUGAUUCUUCCACUCAUUUCUAAAACCAAGUUAUCUAGCAAAGAUAGAUGAUCAGUGAGCUAGCUUCUUGGUCAGAUUCCUACGGAUAAGUGUGAGUUUGAACACUUCAAACAAAGAGAGAGAAAAGCAUAUGUACCUAAAGAGGUUUGUAAGCCAUCAAGUCGCUUUCUUUCUUUCUUUGAAUUAUCUGCAGCUAACUUUAUGGAAUUGAGUUCAUAGAAUUGAUCCACUUUGACCUCCGAAAACCACAUUUUUUCUAUGUUUCACACAUUCAAGCCUAAUAGGGCACUCUGAUCAUGCAUAUCCGUGCUGAUGUUCAAAUUGACAGUGGAAAAAUAUGCAUCAAUUGAGAAGGAUUGGUUGAUUUGCAUAGACCGGCAAUGCCAGCCAUGUAUUCCUUACGCGUCUUUGGUUUUUCUCCCUUUAAAACCAAAGAUAAAAUUGGAAUAUUUUCAUCAGCAAUAUUCUCGGCAUGCUCUUUAACAAAAGCCAAAGUAUCAUCCAUCUUUCCCCUUACUCUACUACAUGACUAAGUUCCUUGGUGGCUUAAACUUGUGGUCCUGCCUUUUGAUCGGUCCUUAAGUUGCUGCAAGAGAGCAGGAAAAAAAGCUAGUGCUCUUUGAUGUGUUAUGUUCUUCGCUGGCCCAAGGAAUUUGGCAGUGUCUUCUACGAUUCGACAAUCAUGCAACAUACUUAGAGCAUUGAGUGAUCAUUUGUAUGUUGAGCUGACAACUCUUGAGGAUCAAAUUUCACAUCAUCUUCGACCAACAAGGAAAAGAAUACUAGUGCUUGGGAGAUCAUUACAAUUCUUUGUGCAUUGCUAUCUCAUGCAACAUUAAUGCUUUCUUGUUCUAUCUUAUCUUGUCUUAGCCCAGAACCUUUGCAUAGAAUUGAUAGUUUGGACUGUGGAUAAUGCUGAAUGAUUCCUCUUGUUGAAGGGGUUGUGCCAAGUGAUCUCCAAGAGAACUGUCAGCCACAAGUGAUGCCAUAUGAUCCACGGCUGAUGCUCCAAUUGUUCAUUAAAGCUCAGUAGUCACUACCAUGCCCCAUAUCAAGGAUCAUUGUCAGCUCCAAAAGAUCAGAAUCGAAUCUUUUGCCUUUUGUCAUGGAUAAAAGUUUGUGGUUAAUGAGAAGAGAUGUUAUACUUCAGUGGCACACAUGGGCUGAUGGAUUCUUCCCUAGAAUCCACACCUGCUGGGUCUGAUAAAAACCCAUUUCUGAUGCCUCUUAUGGUCUUUCCCAAUCAUCAAUUUGCCAAUGUUGGCAAAUCAAUCUUUGUAAUCAUAAUUACUACGACUCGCAUGAUCUCAGAAGUGACUGAGCAAGAUGCAGAAUACAGCUACCGCUCAUGCAUUAACCUAGUAGUGUGGUACUUGUUGACCUUUUCUGAAUCAAACUGCAGAUGUUCCAGUUCUGUUGGAGCUGGUUCAGGAGGAACUGCCCCUUACAAACUGAAUCCAAGAUCAAGUUAAAUAGGCUCGUUAAUCUAUCUGAUCUCUCCAUGAAUCAGCCCAUUAUGAAAACCACAAAGCCCGUUCCAGAUCAUGAUUGCCUCUGAGUGAGAAAAAUAAUGAUUCUGGAGUGUUGAGGGUUUGCAGAAACACUGCUGCUGUGCUUCAUACGUGCCGAUAUAAAGCCUUUAUGAAGUACACAAAUCUUUUCAUAUGUUCCCUGCCUGAGGUGUAGAUAUAUGCAAAUGGAGUUCUGCAAAGCAUAAAGAUCAAAUUUAGACUUUAGAAUUCUGUCACACACUCAUAGUAACCAGUUCUUCAAGAAAAAGCAGAGAGUGAGAGAGCAAGAGAGAGAGGGAUAGAGAAAAGAAAGAGACAGAUGAACACUAUCAAAUUGAUGCCACUACUACACACCCUUUGAAGCCAGCAGCAUGCAACAAGGUUGAAGUCUCCACCAGGUUGAGCAGAUUACAAUGGCAUGAAAAGAGGCUAUCCUGUUUCAAAUGGAAGCCUGAUCAAGGUUGGGAGUUGACAAG
This is a long non-coding RNA of Musa acuminata AAA Group (dessert banana), 5640 nucleotides long. RefSeq lists it as uncharacterized. The record is from RefSeq and is a predicted model, not a curated record. The transcript is spliced from 4 exons. Lineage: Eukaryota; Viridiplantae; Streptophyta; Magnoliopsida; Zingiberales; Musaceae.